GCGCCCGUAGCUCAGCUUGGAUAGAGCGCUGUCCUCCGGAGGCAGAGGUCUCAGGUUCGAAUCCUGUCGGGCGUACCA
Molecule: transfer RNA, 78 nt
Filed under: Candidatus Palibaumannia cicadellinicola
Lineage: Bacteria; Pseudomonadati; Pseudomonadota; Gammaproteobacteria
Description: Candidatus Baumannia cicadellinicola tRNA-Arg
Rfam family: tRNA
About the family: Transfer RNA (tRNA) molecules are approximately 80 nucleotides in length. Their secondary structure includes four short double-helical elements and three loops (D, anti-codon, and T loops).
Source: RNAcentral